GUAGGGAAUAUUGGGCAAUGGAGGCAACUCUGACCCAGCCAUGUCGCGUGCAGGAUGACGGCCCUCUGGGUUGUAAACUGCUUUUAUACGGGAAGAAAAAAUACUACGUGUAGUAUACUGACGGUACCGUAAGAAUAAGGAUCGGCUAACUCCGUGCCAGCAGCCGCGGUAAUACGGAGGAUCCAAGCGUUGUCCGGAUUUAUUGGGUUUAAAGGGUGCGUAGGCGGAUCUUUAAGUCAGUGGUGAAAGCCUGCAGCUUAACUGUAGAAUUGCCAUUGAAACUGAAGAUCUUGAAUGUGGUUAAAGUAGGCGGAAUGUAUCAUGUAGCGGUGAAAUGCUUAGAUAUGAUACAGAACACCGAUAGCGAAGGCAGCUUGCUGAACCAUUAUUGACGCUGAGGCACGAAAGCGUGGGGAGCGAACAGGAUUAGAAACCCUGGUAGUCC
This 445-nucleotide ribosomal RNA is filed under the name uncultured bacterium. Its description in RNAcentral is "partial 16S ribosomal RNA". It matches the Rfam family "Bacterial small subunit ribosomal RNA", at positions 354 to 796 of the family's 1533-position model. The record is from RNAcentral.